This is a long non-coding RNA of Clupea harengus (Atlantic herring), 1166 nucleotides long. RefSeq lists it as uncharacterized. The transcript is spliced from 3 exons. Lineage: Eukaryota; Metazoa; Chordata; Actinopteri; Clupeiformes; Clupeidae. The record is from RefSeq and is a predicted model, not a curated record.
GUACCUUUUUUCUCAAAGCAGGUUUAUCUUGAUACCAAUGUUUCUCUCAUUGAACUAGGAAUUCAUUUGUGUUGAAAAUUUCAAAAUAAAUGAAUGGUUGCCUCAUCACAGGCAUGUAUCAUUACCCUCAUGUUUAUUAUUGUUAUGAUUACUUUCCUAGAAUUAAGCAAGAAGUGGCGAUAUUACGGAGAUAUGGUUGUAGACGUUGGUGGAAGUUUUUGAAGGAUGGUGCUAAACCAUCGGAGGCUCUUGAGAUGUUAAGUCAGUCUGCACCUCCACCUGCUGGACCAGACACUCCACAGGAGAGUCCACCAGAUCCUCCUCCUGAAGCAGAGACAGAAAUAGAUUCCAUUGGAAAUGUCCCAGAAGAUAGACACAAAUUCACCUGGACAAGUUGGAAAGAAUGAUUCACACUUCCCUGACACAAAUCCAGAAAGAGAAGAAAACUGUAAAGUUGAAGCAAAUGCAGAUACAGAUGGACAUACAACUGGGUCACCACUUUCAGUGGAUGUACACAUAAACACACACUCGUGUGAAACAAUUGCAAGUGAGAAUGAUUCAUUGCUGAAUCACGGAAGUGAAGUACAAACAGACUCCACAAAGCCAAGAGACAGUUCAGCCCAAGAGAGCUCACCACUUCUGGGAAAAUACAUCAAUGAAAGUGUCUCACCUUCGGAAUCAGAAUAACAGACAGAUGUAUGCCCAACAAGCCCAAACUGCAGUUGUCCAGUAAGGAACAGAAAAAGAUCAUAGUGGACAACAGAUCUGAUCUGAGCAGCCUUCGGGUUCAGUGUUGCCCCAAGUUAAUGUCUCUGAAAUUCAAAAGUCAUAUCUGUAUUUAAACUAUGUGUCAUUAAAUGAUGUUUAACAUUGUCACUUGCUUGUCACUUGUCAUAGAUGCCUUAAUCAUCAGUAGGAGUUGAACAAAGUUCUGAGCAGUGUUUGAGUGAGCAGUGUGAUGGGAGCUGUAAUGACGUAAUAAGCGGAGCAUUACAAGCUGUAAAUCGUUUAUGUUACAGUGAUGACUAUAUGUUAUAUUAACACAAUAGUAUUAUAUAAGGGCAUCACUUUUUUCACAAAUUUUAAGAUAGUCCAUGAAUGAAGUAGAUAAAAUGAUCUCUUCUGGAUAAUUAAACUAGUUCCAUAGGCAUCUUCUCAGCAGGUGG